RNAcentral lists this transfer RNA (33 nucleotides) under Mareca americana (American wigeon). RNAcentral describes it as "partial tRNA-Lys". Lineage: Eukaryota; Metazoa; Chordata; Aves; Anseriformes; Anatidae. The record is from RNAcentral.
CUAGCUAAAGAGGAAUUACUCCCUCCUUAAUGA